UACGUAGGGUGCGAGCGUUGUCCGGAAUUAUUGGGCGUAAAGAGCUCGUAGGCGGUCUGUCGCGUCGAUCGUGAAAACUUGGGGCUUAACCCUGAGCUUGCGGUCGAUACGGGCAUGACUGGAGUUCGGCAGGGGAGACUGGAAUUCCUGGUGUAGCGGUGAAAUGCGCAGAUAUCAGGAGGAAUACCGAUGGCGAAGGCAGGUCUCUGGGCUGACACUGACGCUCAUGCACGAAAGCGUGGGGAGCAAACAGG
This 254-nucleotide ribosomal RNA is filed under the name uncultured bacterium. Its description in RNAcentral is "partial 16S ribosomal RNA". It matches the Rfam family "Bacterial small subunit ribosomal RNA", at positions 524 to 776 of the family's 1533-position model. The record is from RNAcentral.